RNAcentral lists this ribosomal RNA (330 nucleotides) under uncultured bacterium. Its description in RNAcentral is "bacterial SSU rRNA". It matches the Rfam family "Bacterial small subunit ribosomal RNA", at positions 568 to 898 of the family's 1533-position model. The record is from RNAcentral.
UCCGUAGGCGGUGUGGCAAGUCGGUAGUGAAAUCUCUCGGCUUAACUGAGAGGCUGCUGCCGAAACUGCCAUGCUCGAGUGCGAGAGAGGCGAGUGGAAUUGCGGGUGUAGCGGUGAAAUGCGUAGAUAUCCGCAGGAACAUCCGAGGCGAAAGCGGCCCGCUGGAUCGCAACUGACGCUGAGGGACGAAAGCUAGGGGAGCAAACAGGAUUAGAUACCCUGGUAGUCCUAGCCCUAAACCAUCAGGACUUGGGGUUUGCCCUGUACGGGGCAAGUCCCGGAGCUAACGCGUUAAGUCCUGCGCCUGGGGAGUACGGUCGCAAGGCUGAA